This 253-nucleotide ribosomal RNA is filed under the name uncultured bacterium. RNAcentral describes it as "partial 16S ribosomal RNA". It matches the Rfam family "Bacterial small subunit ribosomal RNA", at positions 524 to 776 of the family's 1533-position model. The record is from RNAcentral.
UACGUAGGGUGCAAGCGUUGUUCGGAAUUACUGGGCGUAAAGCGCAUGUAGGCGGACUGGUAAGUCAGAUGUGAAAGCCUGGGGCUCAACCUCAGAAGUGCAUCUGAAACUAUUAGUCUUGAAUAUGGAAGAGGGUAGUGGAAUUCCUGGUGUAGUGGUGAAAUACGUAGAUAUCAGGAGGAACAUCGGUGGCGAAGGCGGCUGCCUGGUCCAAUAUUGACGCUGAGAUGCGAAAGCGUGGGUAGCGAACAGG